CAACAUUUCAUUCGCCUUAUAAAUAUUUUUUACCACAUUUUCAAUGAUAUUCACAUUAUUUUUUUACUGGCUAUUGUUGUUAUUUUAUUUAAUGUGUGACUAUUUAAUUACAACUUUUAACUGCCCAUCACUUAUAAAUUAUGUUAUAUCAUUGAGUGUCAUAAUGAAAAUGUAGUUUUUAUUAUACUGUAGGUGUAUGAAUUAAUAUACACAUUUUACAUAAUAUAUGGCUUUAAAAUAUCUAUUUCUGAUCCAAUUAAACUAUAUUAAUUGAUAAUCACGCUUUAUCAUUGGGUAAAAUUUAGAUACAAUCAUUUAUUUUAUGUUUUUAACAGUAAUGAAUGUUAUAAAUAAUGUAAAAAUUGUUUUUCUAGUGCAAUGAUCAAUGUCAAAUCGAAUCUAAAAUUCAACAAUCAACAUGAUUGAAUAUAUAACCUCAACAUCAAUAAUGAAAAGCUGAAAUCAUGUGCAAUGAUCAAUGUCAAAUCGAAUCUAAUAUUCAACAAUCAACAUGAUUGAAUAUAUAACCUCAACAUCAAUAAU
Molecule: long non-coding RNA, 543 nt
Organism: Acyrthosiphon pisum (pea aphid)
Lineage: Eukaryota; Metazoa; Arthropoda; Insecta; Hemiptera; Aphididae
Exons: 2
Source: RefSeq, a predicted model, not a curated record